RNAcentral lists this ribosomal RNA (467 nucleotides) under uncultured bacterium. RNAcentral describes it as "partial 16S ribosomal RNA". It matches the Rfam family "Bacterial small subunit ribosomal RNA", at positions 28 to 507 of the family's 1533-position model. The record is from RNAcentral.
GACGAACGCUGGCGGCGUGCUUAACACAUGCAAGUCGAACGGAAAGGCCUCUUUCUUGGGUUACUCGAGUGGCGAACGGGUGAGUAACACGUGAGUAACCUGCCCUUGUCUUUGGGUUAACUUCAGGAAACUGGGGCUAAUACCGGCUAGGAAAUCCUGCUGCCUGGAUGGGGUUGGAAAGUUUCGGCGGCUUGGGGUGGCCUCGCGGCGUAUCCGCUUUUCGUUGGGGUAGUGGUUUACCAAGGCCUUGCCGGGUCGCCGGUCUAUGGGAGUGAGCGGCCACCUUGGCACCGAGGGACGGCACAGACAGCUACGGGAGGCAAAAGGGGGGAAUACUGCAGAAGGGGUGGAAGCCGGAUGCAGCAAGUCCGCGUGCGGGAAGACUGCGUUAGGGUUGUAAAACGUUUUUGCUCAUGACGAAGCAUUGUGUGACGGUAGUGGGUAAAGAAGCACCGGCUAACUACGUG